Arachis stenosperma is the source of this 2049-nucleotide long non-coding RNA. RefSeq lists it as uncharacterized. The transcript has 8 exons. Lineage: Eukaryota; Viridiplantae; Streptophyta; Magnoliopsida; Fabales; Fabaceae. The record is from RefSeq and is a predicted model, not a curated record.
ACAUACACUUCACUUUUAUUUCCAAAUCUCCUUUAACCCUAGCUAGAAGCCGUCGCACCUAGCGGCUGUUCAUCUCUGCCGAUUGCGAUGACCGUCGCACCACCCAGCUCGCCUUCAUCUAACCAUCACACCCAGCCCUCUCUGUGUCACACCCUAAUUGUUUCUCAACGGUCUCUCGCACCAUUAACGCUGCUCCGUCCACGCACCCAGGAAUCGGCUCUGCUCCGUCCACGCACCCUCGUUGGGUUCGAAACCUCCAUCGGCGAGGAGAAGAGGAAGAGGAAAACCUUAGAGGAGAAGCCCUCCGCCGAUUCCGCAAUCGAAGCUUUGGAGAAGAAGAGGAAGUACCACGAGUCAAUUGAAGAGGAGGAACAAGACUCACACCCUCUGUGUGAGGUGCGGCCACCACAGCUUUCACCUCCAGAAGAGUCGCUGCUCCGCCUGCGCUUCCCCAACUGCAUGCAAGAUGAAAUAGUCUGAAAUCAAGGGGUAUUCGGUUCCCUGGCCAUGACAACGAGAGCUUGGUGCCUAUUUUCACUCCUCCGCGUUCGGUGUCUGAGGCUGAACUUGAUCUUCCUCACCAGACUCAGGAUGAUGAUAUUUCUGUGCAGAGUUUUACUCUUGAACAAACUAAGGAAGCUUUUGAUGUUGCUAGAAACAGCAUUGAGCUUCUUUCUACUUGAAGAAGAUAUUACUCUUUUUUCCUAUCAACAAGGAUGUCUGGAUUUCAUAUCUGAAAACUGUUGUGGCUGCUGAGCCAGCAGCUCCCACUGAGCAUAAUGUUAGUUUGCUAACAGUUCCAAGUGCAAAGACUCUUGGAGAAUAGGCUGGGUUGUGCAAGAUUGAUUCGGAAGGAAAAGCUAGGAAGGUAACUGUUUGCUCCUGGGAAGUUGUGAAGGAUUUUGGAGAAGAACAUGAAGCCUUUAUAGCACAUUAAUGUUGUCCUUUAGCACAUUAAAGCUCAGAGUAAUUUCUGGAAAUUUUUGUGUUUUAUAGCGUUAAAAAUUAUGAUUUAUUUGUCCUGUCUUAUAUGAAGUUGUGGGCAUUUUUUUGUUCCUGAUUAAAUGGUCUGCUCAUCUCAAUUGCCUUUGAAAUAUCCCUUUUAAUUUGUAUUAUGUGCUAAACAAAGUGGUUAAAAAUCUGUUUUGUUUUCCAUCAGAUAUAGUUAACGGCUUGAAGACCAACAAGUUUAAUGCAAAGGAUAGAAGUGAUAUAUCUCUGUUCCUAGAGCGUGCCUUUGUUAGAUUGGAACCAUGGGUCCAAUGGUUUAAUACAACUCAGUCAUGUAUAUUAUAAAUCUAAUGCCAUGUGUGCUUCAGUGCUGAGAUGAGUUAGUUUCUUCCUCACCUAGUUUUGGGUUAUCAUCUCUUUAAUACAGGGAAUCAGAUGGGCAGCUACUACAGGAAUGGACGGGACAAUAAAACAAUACGAGAAUUGAAUCCCAAGGUUCAACUUAAAUGGACAGAAGUGGCAGUUGGACAUAAUCAAGCUGCUCGCGAGCCUGUCCGGGAAGUUUUGGAGAGACCCAAGUUGAGAUUUGUUCCCCACAUUGGUUAUAUACAGGUCCAGGUGCUCAGAAGUGAGUUGUGGGUCGUCUGAGAGACGGCGAAGAUCCUUAUUUUUUCUACUUUGUGUUUUGCUUAGAAUCUCUCCACCUUUGUUUUGAAAAUAUUAUAUUUUGUAUUGAACUCUUUUGAACUUGCAUAUAGAGCCUCUCAUGUUUCCUUUGGGAGAGAUUAUGAUAUACUGUUGUCAACUACUUUCAUACUGUACCCUAGCCAGCCUAAACUUCGCGGGUCGCGACUAGUGGCUAUUUACUUAUGUUAUAUAUAUCUAUCUGUUAUCUAUCUCUUAAUCUCCUUUAUGCCUCGUCCGUAUAUCGCUUUCGGCUUCACGGUGUAUUUUUUUGUUGUCGAAACAGGAGUGAUACAUCUUCGCGAUUUUAUUUAUACUCUUUUUAGGCUUCUCGAUCAAUACCCUUUCCGAAAUUACCUAUAUUUAUAUAUUAAAAAUCUACGUGAGAGUCGUACCACCAUAGUAUCAUUGACU